RNAcentral lists this ribosomal RNA (460 nucleotides) under uncultured bacterium. RNAcentral's name for it is "partial 16S ribosomal RNA". It matches the Rfam family "Bacterial small subunit ribosomal RNA", at positions 338 to 795 of the family's 1533-position model. The record is from RNAcentral.
CCUACGGGAGACAGCAGUGGGGAAUAUUGGUCAAUGGACGCAAGUCUGAACCAGCCACGCCGCGUGCAGGAAGACGGCUCUAUGGGUUGUAAACUGCUUUUGUACGAGGGUAAACUCAGAUACGCGUAUCUCUUUGUAUGUACCUUACGAAUAAGGAUCGGCUAACUCCGUGCCAGCAGCCGCGGUAAUACGGAGGAUUCGAGCGUUAUCCGGAUUUAUUGGGUUUAAAGGGAGCGUAGGCGGGCGGAUAAGUUAGUUGUGAAAUCCCGAGGCUCAACCUGGGAAUUGCAUUUGAUACUGUUAGGCUAGAGUGUAGUUGCGGUAGGCGGAAUUCGUGGUGUAGCGGUGAAAUGCGUAGAUAUCAUGCAGAACACCGAUUGCGAAGGCAGCUUACCAAACUACAACUGACGGUGAGGCGCGAAAGCGUGGGGAGCAAACAGGAUUAGAUACCCCGGUAGUC